GACGAACGCUGGCGGCGUGCUUAACACAUGCAAGUCGAACGGUAAGGCCCUUCGGGGUACACGAGUGGCGAACGGGUGAGUAACACGUGGGUGAUCUGCCCUGCACUUCGGGAUAAGCCUGGGAAACUGGGUCUAAUACCGGAUAGGACUCCGGACUGCAUGGUCUGGGGUGGAAAGCUUUUGCGGUGUGGGAUGGGCCCGCGGCCUAUCAGCUUGUUGGUGGGGUGACGGCCACCAAGGCGACGACGGGUAGCCGGCCUGAGAGGGUGACCGGCCACACUGGGACUGAGAUACGGCCCAGACUCCUACGGGAGGCAGCAGUGGGGAAUAUUGCACAAUGGGCGCAAGCCUGAUGCAGCGACGCCGCGUGAGGGAUGACGGCCUUCGGGUUGUAAACCUCUUUCAGCAUCGACGAAGCGAAAGUGACGGUAGGUGCAGAAGAAGGACCGGCCAACUACGUGCCAGCCGCCGCUGUAA
RNAcentral lists this ribosomal RNA (477 nucleotides) under uncultured bacterium. Its description in RNAcentral is "partial 16S ribosomal RNA". It matches the Rfam family "Bacterial small subunit ribosomal RNA", at positions 28 to 523 of the family's 1533-position model. The record is from RNAcentral.